Molecule: ribosomal RNA, 277 nt
Filed under: uncultured bacterium
Lineage: Bacteria
Description: partial 16S ribosomal RNA
Rfam family: Bacterial small subunit ribosomal RNA
Source: RNAcentral
CCUACGGGGCGCAGCAGUGAGGAAUAUUGGUCAAUGGUCGGGAGACUGAACCAGCCAAGCCGCGUGAGGGAUGAAGGUACAGAGGAUCGUAAACCUCUUUUGUCAGGGAACAAAGGCGGGGACGCGUCCCCGGAUGAGUGUACCUGAAGAAAAAGCAUCGGCUAACUCCGUGCCAGCAGCCGCGGUAAUACGGAGGAGGCGAGCGUGAUCCGGAUUUAUUGGGUUUAAAGGGUGUGCAGGCGGUCUGUUAAGUCAGCGGUCAAAGAGCGGGGCUCAA